GUCUGGGGAAAAAAGGAAAAAAGAGAUGAAUCACACUUAUUGAUCACCUUAGAUUAGUUCAGGCAGUUCAAUUUUUCAAAAUCACUAAGCAUAAACGAAAAAAGCAAGAUAAACCAUCACUCGUCAAAAACAUCGAAAAACAUCAAAAUCCAACAAGUAGAAGUUUACUGAAUACUCAUAGAACUUUUUAUCUUUUAUUUCACAAGCAAACAGGAGUCUGAAUGAUAUAAGCUACAACAACCCACCCAGAUCCCACAAAUGGGUCUGAGACUCUGAGGAGGGUAGUGUGUACACAAACAUUUGCCCUACUUUGUGAAUGAAAUAAGCCGAGCAAAGAAAUGCGCUAUUUUCCAUUCUUGUCACAUGACUAGUUUCAAAGGCAGUUUAUCCUCCAUCACUGGAACACAGAAGAGUUUUCAUAUAAGAGUUCACUUACUUAAGAAGAGGACUCAUGAAUUUAACUUGCCUGAUGAGAGUCUAGUUCAUAUAAGCCUGCCAUGCAAACUAGGGGAAGCAACCGCAGGGCCAUGCCGGCAUGCCCUUAAUCUGAUUCUAGGGGCACUAAACCUCGAUAAAUCAAUUCAACCAGGCUUGUACUGGUAUUUAAAUGGUGAAGAGGGAAUUCAUGACAAACACAGUCAAAAUGUCAUACAAAGGUGACAAAUAUUGCCAUUCAAAAUAGGCUCCCCUGGUCCAUAAGAAAAGCUAAUCCAGUGAGUUCAAAGGUCCUUGAAUAAUAUCAUUUUUCCACUUGAAUUGCAUUUUUCAGAUAUGAAUUAGAAUUACACUACUUUCUGGCAGCACAAGGCUAAGCUCUGUGCACGGGAUAAGUAUAUUUGCGCAGCUAAACCCGUGCGGCACUUAGACAACUUGCCAAAGGUUGCUAAGUAAGCCUUGAACUUCUCGAACUAGAGAAGAAAGCAAUGAAGCCAAAUGAAGAACUUGUAUUGCACUAAAGAGAGAUUUACAAUGCUUGAGUUGCUUGUAGUUGUUUUGUGAUGCUUGGAGGAUUGUUGGAUUGUUGUUGGAUGAUUUACAAAUGAGAAGUGCUAGCCUAUUUAUACUUGCUAGCCUUCCAAAUCAAUGGCUAGGAUGCAUUCUAAUGGAUGGCUAGGAUUAAUUCUCUAGAGAAUUCUACAACUAUCUAGCUAUAGAAUAUGCAAGACAAGUCUAGAGUUUUCCAUGUGUGGAGUGUUCUAGACUUGUGUAGAGAAUGCUAGAGAAAUCUAGAGAAAUGUAGAGAAAGUUGCCAUGCGUGCGCCAUGUCAAUGCUUGCGUGUCGCCCAGUCAUCGCUUGCAUGGCAUAACCUCUUACAAAUGUGGCCAUUUCGAUGCAUGACCACUUGCAAAUAUGGCCGGUCCGUCACAUCCUCCCCCACCUAAGCUCGCGGCGUCCUCGACGCGACCUCGUGCUUUUGAUUCUGGAGGUGCUUCCAUAGAGUCUCCCGUCUCUUCGUGAUGUGGCUUGAGACGACUCGCAUGGAAAAUGGGAUGGAUAUUGAGCUUUGGGGGAAGCUGGAGUUGAUACGAGACUUUACCCACACGUCGUACAACUUGGAAGGGUCCCUCGUAGUAUUUCACUAACCCCUCGUGGAUUUUCUGUAAUGCUUUGCGCUGUCGGGGUAGGAGCUUGAUCUUGACUUGAUCGCCUUCCUUGUACAAAACGUGUUGUCUCCUUGUAUCUGCUCGUUUCGCCGUUCUUCUUGCGGCCUUGUUAGGGACGGCUCGCGUGAUGUCUGCUUCCUUAUGUUUGAGUGGCGCCAUGCAAUAGGGCGCCAAGGCUGGUGGCUUCGUGCCUUGGUCUAGCUCGACUUGACGAGCUACCUUUCGCCGAGGUGGGAGCUUUUUCGGAAGCUUUGGCGGUGUGGCAUCCUUUUUCUUACUAAGGAUGGCUUGCGUUCGUGGAGGCGCUUGGCUUGGCAAUGUUCCCCUAUUUCCUUCCUUGUUUCGCUCCCGGUUGGGGACCAAGAAGCUUGGGUCCGUCCCGGAAACCUUCUUGAUUUGCAUGGCGGAGAGGGUAUGUUCCCCUGGUUUGCCUCUCUCUAAGGGCACCAUGCAGGCUUUGCUCCCGUCAAAUAUGCUUAGGGAGUUUGUCGCAGGUAUUGGGAAGGCAUGGGUUUGGUCGAAGAAGUCUAUGCCAAGGACCAUGUUGUAGUCGUCCAUGGGUACAAUGGAAAAAUCGACCUGUCCACUCCACGUUCCAAGGCUUAACUGUACGCCUUUUGCAGUCCCCCGCAAUUGGUUCCGCGGGUGAGUUUACCGCCUUGAUGUCGCCUCCUUCCUUGGUGAUCUUGAGGCCUAAUCGCUUAGCCUCGUCCACGGUUAUGAAAUUAUCAGUUGCUCCGUGUCUAUCAUUGCGCGGAUGGGCUGGCCAUUGAUCUUGCCGCUGACGAACAUGAGCCCUUUCUUGAUUGGUGUGGGCUGUUGGCGACUGAGCACGCCUAGUCGUUGGAUAGAACCCAUGCUGGUUUGGGAUUCUUCCGAGGAAGGUACAGGAUUGUCCUUCAGUUGUGCGGCAAGUGCGUUAAGCGACUUCUUCUCCGGACAGUCGCGUACCCAGUGUAGGCCAUUGCAGAUGAAGCAUGGGCUUGGUGGUGCCUUCUUCUUGCUCUCCGGUUUGCCUUGCCAAGUCCUGUUGCUUGGCGGCUUGUUCUGUCCCCAAUUCUUGCGGUGGUUGUCCUCGUCCUUGCGACUCUCUCCCCCACCUUUAUCGUGGUUGGCCUUUUCGCCUUUGGAUUGGGUAGUGUAUUCGGGAAACAAUUUCGCAAUGGCGAUGGCGUCAUCAAGUGUUUGAACACCACGCCUGUCAAGUUCUGUCUUGGCCCAAUCCUUGAGGCCAUCUUGAAAAUAAAAGAGAGAGUCCUUGUCGGACAUGUCGCUUAUCUCCAAUAUUAGGGUAGUAAACUCGUUGAUGUAGUCCCGUAUACUACCCGUCUGCUUGAGGCGACGUAAGCGCGCUCGUGCUUCCUUUUCCGCAUUACUUGGGGCGAAUUGCUUUCGGAGUUCUUGCUUGAAGUCGGCCCAAGUGUUGAUGGUGCAAAUCCCUUUGCCCAUAUCGCCAUGCUUGCGACGCCACCAUAGUUGUGCGGCGCCUCGGAGAUAAGUGGGUGCAGCGCCCACUUUCGAUGCCUCGUCUCGUACGCCAAUGGCAUCAAAGUAUUGAUCCAGCCCGAAUAGAAAGUUCUCUACGAUGGUGGCAUUCCGAGUACAAUCAUAGGUGUCGGGUUUUGCCACGUCAAUGCGUCGCGCAUCACUUGUGCUAGUUGAAGCUGGGCUUGAGGAGAGUGUGCGCUUGUGCCAUGCCCAAUCCGAGCGGACUUCCUCCACUUCCGCACGGACAGCCCGUAGUUCUUUUUGGACAAAACUACGAAGCUUUAGCAACUCAUCAUGAAAGGAACGAAAUUCUCCUCGGAGAAUGUUUGCUUGUUCGUGGAUGAGUGCCUUUGUUGCCACCGUGAAAUCGGCGUAUUCUCCCUCGAGACUUGGACGAAACUACGAAGCUUUAGCAACUCAUCAUGGAAGGAACGAAACUCUUCCCGGAGUUUGUUCGCUUGGUCGUGGAUGAGUGCCUUUGUUGCCACCGUGAACUCGCCAUAUUCUCCUUCGAGACCGUCCACUCGUUCCUCCAGUCCCUCGAGACUUUCUUGAGUGGCAGAGAAUACAUUUUCAAGAGUGUUUACACGAGGCUCCAACGCAUCCACCGACAGGGCCUUAGACUUGCUACGAGUCUUGCUUUGGCCACGUUCUCCGUCACGGCCGCGGUUUGGCUCCGGUGGAACAUCCACACCGAUAACACCCUCUUGUGCUAAGUUCGAAGUGUUUGCCAUUGCUUGUGGGCUAACUUGCGUGGUGUGCAAAACCUUAGCUCUGAUACCACCUGUCACGGGAUGAGUAUAUUUGCGCAGCUAAACCCGUGCGGCACUUAGACAACUUGCCAAAGGUUGCUAAGUAAGCCUUGAACUUCUCGAACUAGAGAAGAAAGCAAUGAAGCCAAAUGAAGAACUUGUAUUGCACUAAAGAGAGAUUUACAAUGCUUGAGUUGCUUGUAGUUGUUUUGUGAUGCUUGGAGGAUUGUUGGAUUGUUGUUGGAUGAUUUACAAAUGAGAAGUGCUAGCCUAUUUAUACUUGCUAGCCUUCCAAAUCAAUGGCU
This 4150-nucleotide long non-coding RNA is filed under the name Nicotiana benthamiana. Its description in RNAcentral is "long non-coding RNA (NBEN_LNC038380)". The record is from RNAcentral. Lineage: Eukaryota; Viridiplantae; Streptophyta; Magnoliopsida; Solanales; Solanaceae.